This is a long non-coding RNA of Haliotis rubra (blacklip abalone), 1828 nucleotides long. RefSeq lists it as uncharacterized. The record is from RefSeq and is a predicted model, not a curated record. The transcript is spliced from 3 exons. NCBI's taxonomy places the organism in Eukaryota, Metazoa, Mollusca, Gastropoda, Lepetellida, Haliotidae.
GGAACUGUCGUCAACACAACUCGUGCUGUAGCUGUGUUCAGUAGGGGAAUGGAAGGAGAUUAUGCUCAAGCCUUUGCACAACUAUUACCUGUACGACAUCAUGGUACAGAGUAUGUUCUGUCUACACAUGACUAUCCGUCUGAAAGUGACUCUACAUACCAGCUACACGUUGUUAGUGAUCAGAGCGACACUGAAAUUAGGCUGAACAAUGGAUCUACAUUCACUCUUGAUGACAACCGUGUGUAUCGCCGAAACCUCGUGUAUAACGAGACACUGUAUUUUAAUACCACAAGACCUGCCAUUGCAACCCUGUGCAGAAAACCCUCAAACAUAAAUAAUCAUGGAUUUGUUGUUGUAACUCCAGUUAAGUAUUUCAUCAACAAUGCACAGGUUUAUUAUACAUGGUGUGUAAACAUACUGACUAAACACCACGUAACAGAUAUUGAAGUAGAUAGGAGUGGCAUGACUCCUGCUACAGUGCACUGGGUGGACAUCCCUGGCAGUGAUUACAAAGCGGGAAAAACCUGUUUACACCACGAUCACUUUGUCCGCUCCACCAACAGAUUCGCUGUGUAUGGGUUUUACUCCGACAUUUUUAAUUGAGGCUACCAUUUCCCAGCUGACCCAUCAACCACACGUGCUGCUGCAGCCCAUCGCUGGAAUCAGAUGAUGUUGUUUCGAUGGUCACAAGCGCCGACAACGGCGACCCAGACGAAUCUGACGAUGAGCCAGAACCUACACCUCCCCCUACUGUCAGCUAAAUGAGAGCUUAUAUGGACUGUAUGAUCAAUUAUGUCGAGUGUGUUGGAGAUGCCAAGAACUUAGAGACAAUGGUCAGCAUGUGUGCAUCUUUCAAGCCACUCUCCAAGCAGACUGUCAUUGGCAAUUUCUUUCAACCCGAGUUCUCCGAGACACAGGAGACACAGGAGCUUGAAGAUAUGAACUGGUUGUAACUUUGAAACCAGUGAGGUACAUUCGAUGUGGACUGGAUGCUGUUGCGUCAAAAAAUAUGAUAUCAUUGUUUAACCAUUGAUGCUGAUUGCUCAAAGUGUAUAACAAUGAAUCAUUUCUAUGUGUUUGUUGGUUCAUUGUUUAACGCCAGACUCACAUCUAUGCGUGAACCAUGUUGGCGAGCCGUGAUUACUCAAGACUCUGACCCGGGUCUUCAAGGGGAUAUUCGGUCUGCCGAUGUAUUGGUUGUCGUCGAUAAACGAAAUAAAUCAGUUACAAUGAAUUUGGAUACAAUGCAAGUAAGUAGGCAAGAUAGGUGGGCGCAGGUGGUCCAGUUGUCUGUUGAAAUAUGUGUCCAAUGGCGGACCAGUCAACUAUGGUCGUAGGUUCGAAUCCCGGUUCGCCAUGACCAUAUAUCUGUGUUUGUUGAUAUAUCAUAGCCUUGCUUGUGGGUUUCAUCAAAGUGACAAGUAUCCAAUGCUUGCAUCACAACGGAGUUUUACGGUGUGAAACCAAACUCACUGACCAACUAAACCACACUGGGGUCAAGGGAAUGUAGUGACCAGUAAAUGUGAGCAAUGGUACCGCGUCAGUGGUAUUUUACUGAGGUAAUCAGAGUCGGGCACCUAAAGACCAACACACAAAGUCUGUGAUCUAACCCACUCAGCCAGCGCUCUAGAAGGUCGGACAACUGAUAGUCUAUAUCACGUACUUUGCGUGCCUCUGAUAAAUAUAACUUGGCACACGCUGCAGGAUUUCCAGUGUACACAGAAACAGGGUAGUUUCGAAUCCACAUGGAAUAUUCAAAGAUGAAUGUAAAUGAAAGGGUGUGUUUUUUUAAUGUAGUGAUAAGAUUGUGGAUGAACGCCACGUACUG